Small nuclear RNA from Monodelphis domestica (gray short-tailed opossum), 106 nucleotides. The record is from Ensembl. Lineage: Eukaryota; Metazoa; Chordata; Mammalia; Didelphimorphia; Didelphidae.
GUACUUGCUUCAGCAGCACAUAGACUAAAGUGGGAACAUUACAGAGAAGAUUAGCAUGGCCCAAGCAAGGCUAACACACUUUCGGGGAGAGUGCCAUAUUUUUUUU